This is a long non-coding RNA of Homo sapiens (human), 222 nucleotides long. RefSeq lists it as uncharacterized. The transcript has 3 exons. The record is from RefSeq and is a predicted model, not a curated record. Lineage: Eukaryota; Metazoa; Chordata; Mammalia; Primates; Hominidae.
CGGACCACGCAUCUUUACAGAGUUGGACGAAUAACUUUAGAAGGCUGACUACUGAAGGCUGAUUUGUGAGGGUAUCAAGUCACAUGCAAGAGACUCUGGAGAACCAACCGCCAGGUGCUACCGGGCACUGAUUCCCAGCUCCAAACUUGGCCCUAAAUGUCUGCAUGGACCUUUCUCUAACGACCAAGAGGAAGAGAGUGUUACUGCAGCGACAAAUACGAG